This 600-nucleotide unclassified non-coding RNA is filed under the name Aspergillus welwitschiae. Its description in RNAcentral is "sequence contains 18S rRNA gene, ITS1, 5.8S rRNA gene, ITS2, 28S rRNA gene". The stretch from base 230 to 383 matches the Rfam family "5.8S ribosomal RNA". Lineage: Eukaryota; Fungi; Ascomycota; Eurotiomycetes; Eurotiales; Aspergillaceae. The record is from RNAcentral.
UCGUAACAAGGUUUCCGUAGGUGAACCUGCGGAAGGAUCAUUACCGAGUGCGGGUCCUUUGGGCCCAACCUCCCAUCCGUGUCUAUUGUACCCUGUUGCUUCGGCGGGCCCGCCGCUUGUCGGCCGCCGGGGGGGCGCCUCUGCCCCCCGGGCCCGUGCCCGCCGGAGACCCCAACACGAACACUGUCUGAAAGCGUGCAGUCUGAGUUGAUUGAAUGCAAUCAGUUAAAACUUUCAACAAUGGAUCUCUUGGUUCCGGCAUCGAUGAAGAACGCAGCGAAAUGCGAUAACUAAUGUGAAUUGCAGAAUUCAGUGAAUCAUCGAGUCUUUGAACGCACAUUGCGCCCCCUGGUAUUCCGGGGGGCAUGCCUGUCCGAGCGUCAUUGCUGCCCUCAAGCCCGGCUUGUGUGUUGGGUCGCCGUCCCCCUCUCCGGGGGGACGGGCCCGAAAGGCAGCGGCGGCACCGCGUCCGAUCCUCGAGCGUAUGGGGCUUUGUCACAUGCUCUGUAGGAUUGGCCGGCGCCUGCCGACGUUUUCCAACCAUUCUUUCCAGGUUGACCUCGGAUCAGGUAGGGAUACCCGCUGAACUUAAGCAUAUCA